AACUCAGCCACGAUUGAGAGAUAAAGAGAUUGGGUGUGUUUCCCGCAGUUCUGCAAAAGAGAGGAUAAGCGGAGAAAUUUAAUCCCAAGCUGCACUAUCUUGGGCUUAACACAGAAUGGCAGUGGUGUGGUUUUAUCGCUGUUAGUUUUCUUGAGAUUAAACCAAAUAUUCCCAGAAGAACUCCCACAAAGGAGCAUUCAUUCCACAAAGCGGUGACAAAUCUUAUUCAAUCGAUUUCACUGUGUUACUCAAUCUAAACGCUUGACAUAAAUAAAAAUUCCAGAAGGAAUUCAAGAACUUUCCAAAGAAGUACAAGCAGUUUCAUAUCAAUUGUAUUCAAUUUCAGUUUUUUUAGUAUCAUAUUAACAACUUCUUUUCUAUACAAUCACUUACUUUCAUAAGCAAUUCACUAACAAUCCUACCUCCCGCU
Rosa chinensis is the source of this 430-nucleotide long non-coding RNA. RefSeq lists it as uncharacterized. The transcript is spliced from 3 exons. The record is from RefSeq and is a predicted model, not a curated record. Lineage: Eukaryota; Viridiplantae; Streptophyta; Magnoliopsida; Rosales; Rosaceae.